UCUUUCACAACAAGCAAACCAGCGUGCUGCAGCGGUUUCCAGCCCUUAGUUGACACGUACGAGGAGCUAUGGUAUUGCGGCGAUGGCCCCUUAAGAAAAGUAUGUCCAAAAACAUAUUUCUGCUGCAAUGAUGCAGCAGGCAGGUGGGCAGUGUGUUGUCCUGAAUAAACGGUAUAUGGGGCUGCCCCUGCCGGGUACACAGCCUUGAGACUUGAGACUGUCUGUUGGCCUGUUGAUCCAGCCUGUGUACAAAUGCGUUACGAAAAGUUCCACGCGUUUAUGGUACAGAGGCUGUGACAUCAAACAUUUCUUAUAUUAAUCUUGUUUUCUUAUAUGGAAUUUUGGCAAAAGGAGAAUAUGAGAAAAUAAAAAAACACAAAGAAAAUUGUA
Mizuhopecten yessoensis (Yesso scallop) is the source of this 390-nucleotide long non-coding RNA. RefSeq lists it as uncharacterized. The record is from RefSeq and is a predicted model, not a curated record. The transcript has 2 exons. Lineage: Eukaryota; Metazoa; Mollusca; Bivalvia; Pectinida; Pectinidae.